CAUGAGCAGGUUGAAGGUUGGGUAACACCAACUGGAGGACCGAACCCGCAUCUGUUGCAAUAGAUUGGGAUGACUUGUGGUUAGGGGUGAAAGGCCAAUCAAACCUGGAGAUAGCUGGUUCUCCGCGAAAUCUAUUUAGGUAGAGCGUCGACCGAAUACCCUGGGGGGUAGAGCACUGGAUGGGCUAUGGGGACUCACCGUCUUACUGAUCCUAACCAAACUCCGAAUACCCAGGAGUACUAGUCGGCAGACACACGGCGGGUGCUAACGUCCGUCGUGAAAAGGGCAACAACCCUAAUCUCCAGCUAAGGUCCCCAAGUCAUGGCUAAGUGGGAAAGGAUGUGAGACUCCCAAAAACAACCAGGAUGUUGGCUUAGAAGCAGCCAUCAUUUAAAGAAAGCGUAACAGCUCACUGGUCUAAUUAAGGGGUUU
Molecule: ribosomal RNA, 432 nt
Filed under: uncultured bacterium
Lineage: Bacteria
Description: bacterial LSU rRNA
Rfam family: Bacterial large subunit ribosomal RNA
Source: RNAcentral